GUCCUGGCCGUAAACGUUGUCAACUCGGUGGUGAUUGUGUCGAUCCAAGCACUAUCCAAGCUAACGUGAUAAGUUGACCGCCUGGGGAGUAUGCGCGCAAGCGUGAAACUCAAAGGAAUUGACGGGGGCCCGCACAAGCGGUGGAGCAUGUGGUUUAAUUCGAUGAUACGCGAGGAACCUUACCUGGGUUUGACAUUCAGAUGACUGGUGUGAAAUCCACCUUCCUUUCGGGGCAUCUGAACAGGUGCUGCAUGGCUGUCGU
RNAcentral lists this ribosomal RNA (262 nucleotides) under uncultured bacterium. Its description in RNAcentral is "partial 16S ribosomal RNA". It matches the Rfam family "Bacterial small subunit ribosomal RNA", at positions 793 to 1055 of the family's 1533-position model. The record is from RNAcentral.